UGGGGAAUAUUGCACAAUGGGGGAAACCCUGAUGCAGCGACGCCGCGUGGAGGAAGAAGGUCUUCGGAUUGUAAACUCCUGUCCCAGGGGACGAUAAUGACGGUACCCUGGGAGGAAGCACCGGCUAACUACGUGCCAGCAGCCGCGGUAAAACGUAGGGUGCAAGCGUUGUCCGGAAUUACUGGGUGUAAAGGGAGCGCAGGCGGAUUGGCAAGUUGGGAGUGAAAUCUAUGGGCUCAACCCAUAAAUUGCUUUCAAAACUGUCAGUCUUGAGUGGUGUAGAGGUAGGCGGAAUUCCCGGUGUAGCGGUGGAAUGCGUAGAUAUCGGGAGGAACACCAGUGGCGAAGGCGGCCUACUGGGCACUAACUGACGCUGAGGCUCGAAAGCAUGGGUAGCAAACAGGAUUAGAUACCCUGGUAGUCCAUGCCGUAAACGAUGAUUACUAGGUGUGGGAGGAUUGACCCCUUCCGUGCCGCAGUUAACACAAUAAGUAAUCCACCUGGGGAGUACGACCGCAAGGUUGAAACUCAAAGGAAUUGACGGGGGCCCGCACAAGCAGUGGAGUAUGUGGUUUAAUUCGAAGCAACGCGAAGAACCUUACCAGGUCUUGACAUCGGAUGCAUACCUAAGAGAUUAGGGAAGUCCUUCGGGACAUCCAGACAGGUGGUGCAUGGUUGUCGUCAGCUCGUGUCGUGAGAUGUUGGGUUAAGUCCCGCAACGAACGCAACCCUUAUCGUUAGUUACUACGCAAGAGGACUCUAGCGAGACUGCCGUUGACAAAACGGAGGAAGGUGGGGAUGACGUCAAAUCAUCAUGCCCUUUAUGACCUGGGCUACACACGUACUACAAUGGCUAUUAACAGAGAGAAGCGAUACCGCGAGGUGGAGCAAACCUCACAAAAAUAGUCUCAGUUCGGAUCGCAGGCUGCAACCCGCCUGCGUGAAGCCGGAAUUGCUAGUAAUCGCGGAUCAGCAUGCCGCGGUGAAUACGUUCCC
RNAcentral lists this ribosomal RNA (996 nucleotides) under uncultured bacterium. Its description in RNAcentral is "bacterial SSU rRNA". It matches the Rfam family "Bacterial small subunit ribosomal RNA", at positions 355 to 1375 of the family's 1533-position model. RNAcentral also lists the same sequence under 1 other name. The record is from RNAcentral.